GAUGAAGAACGCAUCGAAAUGCGAUAAGUAAUGUGAAUUGCAGAAUUCAGUGAAUCAUCGAGUCUUUGAACGCACAUUGCGCCCCCUGGUAUUCCGGGGGGCAUGCCUGUCCGAGCGUCAUUGCUGCCCUCAAGCACGGCUUGUGUGUUGGGCCCCGCCCCCCGGCUCCCGGGGGGCGGGCCCGAAAGGCAGCGGCGGCACCGCGUCCGGUCCUCGAGCGUAUGGGGCUUCGUCACCCGCUCCGUAGGCCCGGCCGGCGCCCGCCGGCGACCCCCCUCAAUCUUUUCAGGUUGACCUCGGAUCAGGUAGGGAUACCCGCUGAACUUAAGCAUAUCAAUAAGCGGAGGA
Molecule: unclassified non-coding RNA, 348 nt
Filed under: soil metagenome
Description: partial contains 5.8S ribosomal RNA, internal transcribed spacer 2, and large subunit ribosomal RNA
Rfam family: 5.8S ribosomal RNA (bases 1-120)
Source: RNAcentral